RNAcentral lists this long non-coding RNA (2979 nucleotides) under Brassica napus (rape). Its description in RNAcentral is "long non-coding RNA (BNAP_LNC003007)". The record is from RNAcentral. Lineage: Eukaryota; Viridiplantae; Streptophyta; Magnoliopsida; Brassicales; Brassicaceae.
ACGUUCACUGUCUUAUAGCUACCUUGUGGAGAUGGCCAUUGCUGAUGAUACUGCUGUAGAGUCUAUUUUUCUGCUUUGACAGGGUAAUGACAAAACUGCAUAACAUGAGAGUCUAUGAAGAUGAUAUUCCUGGUGCCAUCUCGGUACCUGCUAAGGCAGAGCCGAAUACAUGAGCAGGUCUAAGUGGUGUCAACACAACUAAGUCUCCAGCACUAGGGUGUUCUAAGAUGGUCAAGAAAGCACGCAAGUCAUAGAUUAAAAUAAUGAUAGAUCUGGCAUCAGUAUUUCCUCUUUGAAUAAUGCUUAGGCAUUGUUGUUUUUCUUUUGUUUUUGAACAAGUUCGUUUAUGUUUUACUCCUCUUUUGGUUAAUCUAUGUUUGGUUUAGACUCUCUUUAUAAAAUAUGUCUCAGUUUCCACAAUUGUUGUACAUCUAACUCACUAUUUAUUUAAGACGGACGACACUUGGUCCCAGCUUAUUGUCUGUAUGAAACAAGUGUUUCACCAUCAUCUUUGUAUAACCGAUUUACCCUUAAUCUAGAAUCCAAACAAUAAGCAAACGUCUUUUAAUGAUAGUUAGUACAAGUUCCAUCUAAACCCAAUAUAUUGAUCCCAUCUGUUGUUAUGUUACGGACAUUGUUUCCUGCAGAUACUUUAAAUCGUAUGAAUUAAUGAACAUAGCAUCAAUAGCGUGAGAGAUAAGUUAAUGUCUUUUAAUGUUUCCUAAAAAUUAGUCUGUAACCGUCGAGUUAAUUCAUUUUAGUCUCUGCUAAUUACCUAUAUCUUUCGAUAAUUCUCUGUAAUCUCAACCUACAAUCACAAAAAAAACUCUUUAUGGUGAAAAAAACAUCUAAAGAAAGAGCUCGAACUGACACCGGGGAGCCGAGUACAAGCAACCUUAGUCGUCUGUUCGUAAGCACUGACUCACCUAAUGCUACCAAUGUUGCUGAUGACUCCAUCUCAGGUUUGUACAACUAAUCUAACUUAAAAAAACAUAUUGUCAACCAAAUUACAUAAACAAUUAAAAGCCACUACAAGUCGGUUCUUCACAUUAAAAAUCAAUAUCUUCAUGUGUGAAUUGUUAAGGAAGUUGAGGAUGACGUCACUGUUUACUAAGUGUACCACUAAAGGGCAUGAACCUAGACCACUAAUUAGAUUCUCCCUUUAAUACCACAAUGUCUACGUUUCAAUUUAAAUGAUUAGUAGUACUAUUAUUUAUUACCCCUAACAUUUAAUAGACACAUUACUCCUAAAGAAGAUAAUUGAAUUAAUAAUUAUUGGUAUUGAACCAAAAUAAAUAUGAAAAUAAAUCAUAGAAAAUUUUCUUUUCAUGAAAAAAAAUAUAGAAUAUGUUUUAAAAUUAUUAAUUAUUCAUAAUAGUUUUAAAGUUUAUAAACUCUUCAGAUUUAGGUUUAAAUAAAUUGUUGAUGUAAACUUUUGAGGCUUUUUGGCGACCUUUUGAAGAUUGUUCUACAAUGGGUAGCAGUUAUCAAAAUAUCAUUGUAAGUGACAUCAACUCAUAUUGAUUCUAAAUACCAUACAAGAUUUCUAAUACCGUAACUUAGAAUUUCAUUGUUAAUUAAUAGUGCAAGCUCACUGAUUUCAAGCAAACAAUAUAAAUUUUUGAAUAUCUACUAUGUUAGAAUAGUGAUGUAAUAUGUUCUCAAAUUUUACACGUGUAAUACAUGGUUCAUUUUUAUCGCAAUUUUAUCUAUGAUUAAUAAUUUGUUUCCAUGACAAUCCAAUAUAUAAGAUAAAAAAAAUUUGGAUCAUAACUUAGAUUUAACUAUUCUUUAUUCAUUUCACAUUUGCUGAUCUUUCUAUAUAUAGUUUUAGAUAGUACAUUGAUAACAGUCAGUUUUAGUCCUUUCUAAUUUAGUAUAUGGUUCAUAUUUUAUAAAAUGGGAUGUAAUAUAUGUGCAUUAUUAUAUUAAAUACAUUUAUAUUUGUCUAACUCCGGGCGUAGCCCGGACAAAAUCUCUAGUAUAUAUAAAAAUGUAAAAUAUGUAUCUUUUUGAAACAAAGAAAGUAUAUAUCAUGUCUAACCAGCAUACGAGUUUCUCUCAAAAGUUUUCUGAAUUCUUAUAUUAAGAUGAGCUUUUAAACCAACUAAUUUCUAAUAUUUCCCUUUCAACUUGCGUGGGCCUCCAACCCAUUUUAGACAGUCAAGACUCAAUAAGACCAGCUCUCCUGGAUCCAAUGGAAUAACUACGAUUCUACACUAAGAUGAUUUUUAUCAUGGGAUUUAUUUUCGUUUGAUUGGAAAUGUGUUUGCACUAGAGUCUUUGUAUGAAAAUUCUAGCCACCCUUUUUUAAUAUAUUACACCGAAUUUUAGCAAAAAAAAAAUUUGCAUAUAUAUAUAUAAACAUGUAACUUGAGAAAAAAUGAAAUAAGAUUUAUAAACACUAUAGUUUUUAGGAGAAAUUUUAUAUUUACCAUUUUUAUGGUACCACUUUUUAUCUUUACCACCAAGAAAGAGACAUUUUCAAAGAUACAUUUUUCAUUAAGUGACAAAAGAACAAAAUCAUUAUUAUUAUAUAUAUAUAUAUAUAUAUAUAUAUUGUAGAGUCUAUUUUUCUGCUUUGACAGGGUAAUGACGAAACUGCAUAACAUGAGAGUCUAUGAAGAUGAUAUUCCUGGUGCCAUCUCGGUACCUGCUAAGGCAGAGCCGAAUACAUGAGCAGGUCUAAGUGGUGUCAACACAACUAAGUCUCCAGCACUAGGGUGUUCUAAGAUGGUCAAGAAAGCACGCAAGUCAUAGAUUAAAAUAAUGAUAGAUCUGGCAUCAGUAUUUCCUCUUUGAAUAAUGCUUAGGCAUUGUUGUUUUUCUUUUGUUUUUGAACAAGUUCGUUUAUGUUUUACUCCUCUUUUGGUUAAUCUAUGUUUGGUUUAGACUCUCUUUAUAAAAUAUGUCUCAGUUUCCACAAUUGUUGUACAUCUAACUCACUAUUUAUUUAAGACGGACGACACUUGGUCCCAG